This 6348-nucleotide long non-coding RNA is filed under the name Gossypium barbadense (sea-island cotton). Its description in RNAcentral is "long non-coding RNA (GBAR_LNC012575)". The record is from RNAcentral. Lineage: Eukaryota; Viridiplantae; Streptophyta; Magnoliopsida; Malvales; Malvaceae.
CAUGCUUGGGGUCGGGACCAGGUGGUGGAUAUUUUGUUGUUUCCAUCAGCAUCCUUUCUUCAUUGAAUUCAUGUACUAAAUAUUCCCCAAACAUUUCCCCAGCUUCACUUGAUUUUUUCACAUCCUACAAAAUAUAAUUAUAUACAAAUUUAAUCUAAUUAUUAAAUUUACUUAUAUUCAGCCGUGCAAAAUUUAUACGGAUAGGCAGAACAACUUUCAACAUUGCUAGUAUUGAUGUUCAUCUUUUUGCUUAAAAAAUAAAAAGUGGUUCAAAAGUCUCCUCUUUUAUUUUAAGACUAAUAAUCUUUAAUCAAUUUUCUUUUCUAAAAAUAUGUCAUUUUAUUACUCCGCUUGUGGAGUUUAGAUAUAAGAUAAUAUUUUAUUAUAUAUGUUUGUCUUUAUGAGUGAGAAAGGACCUGAGUAAGUAAAUUUCGGGCGGACGAAGGGAGUAGUUCCUUAUUUUACUUGAGAUUUCCUAUAUAAAAAUAUAUAUCAAAUAAAUUAAUUAAUAAAAAAAUCAAAAUUAAAAACUAAAAUAUUACCCUCACUUAUAGUAGGAAUAGUAGCACAAGAAAUCAGAAGACAACAUAAACCUAGAAAAAGUACCAUAAAUCUAACAUUAAAACCUUUGUUAUCCAUGCUAAUCAUAAACAACGACCUUACAACAAUGAGAAAAGAUAAAGAAAUUUGGUGAUGGCAAAGGAAAGCAUUUGAGUUUUGGUAAUUUGUUCUUUAUAUAGAGAGUGUUUGGUACUUUCCUUGUUUACUUUUUUUUUUUUAAAAAAAGACCAGUUGGAUUCAUUUAUGCAAAAGAAUAUAGCCAAAAAAUACUAAACAUAAAAAAUAACCUAAUUGAAAACAAAUAAAAUAAUAAUUACUAAUAAAAAAGAAAAAAGAAUAAUGCAGUAAUAAAUAAAAACUAUUGGCUUCUUUGUUGGCUUCCUAAACCACCCCAGUAUUCACAACCCAUUCCCCUUUCAUUUCCUAUUUGCUCCCUUAACCUUCACAUUUCUUUAGAGGAGACCCUUUUGGUCAUUCGUCGAUUCGUUUCACCGGCCAAUAGAUCUCUUCUCCUCCUCCAUUUUCCCUUUCACGAAUGCCGGUACUUCCCUCAUUAGGUGACUCUACUCCCUCCAUUUUAAACCCUUUAUUGUCAAGACAUGCGCAAGACUAUUCCUCUCCCUUAUUGUGUAUGUAAACAAACAGGUAUCGAAAACUUCUGUCAACAAUUUUAUAUCUUCCACGUACGUGCUUAUAACUAAAUCAUCCACCUUACUUAUUAAAAUCUUUUUGAUUAUUGUGAGAGUGUCUCCCUAGAUUUCGAUCUCUCGAAAUCCCAAAUCUAACCACAUUUGAACACCCUAGAGAAAUGUGAGUGCCUCCACAAUAAUCGUUUAUGGAAUCCGCUUGUUUAUAGUUACUUGUGACCCCACUAUAGACCCAUCGGGCCUCGCACUAGUAACCCGUACACAACUCCUUUGCAUGCCAUUGAAAACUUGCAUCAAAGUUGAUAAGGAUUAAGGUGGAUGGUUGCAAAAUAUAGGAUCAUAAGCUUGUCUAAAUUGUGGAUUUGAGUUAGGGCUCUAGACGUUCAAAAAGAAAUUUAGAUCUUGAUACGAUUUGAAACGAAAUCAAAUCCAAGUCAUAUAAAAUAACUAAAUAAAUAACUAAGAUAAAUAAAAUAGAAUAAUAAAUUAAUGAUUAGAACAAUAAGGAAGAAAAUGAAAAAGAUAGAUGGAAAGAUAGAACGUGGUAUGUAGAAGUCCUAAGAAGCUUGGGAAAUACGACCAAUCCACAACUCCCUUGAAGCGACUCUAUUUCCCCUCCAAGACGGAAACUUGGUAAGAAAAAGUUUGAAGAUGAUUCUCACAAGUUGAAAAGAUUAUUAAAACUCUUCUAAAAGAAAACUCAAAAGAAAUUUUUGAAAGAAAAACUCGAGAAAUUUUUGAAAGAAAAAAUCAAAGAGAAAUUUUUAACUCAAAAGAGAAGUUGAAUAAUAAUGAAAUGAUUGAAUUGUGUACAAUGCAAAGGUAUUUAUAUAGGCUAGCUAAAUAAAUCUAAAUAAAUUUCUUAAGGAUACUAGAACUCUAAUUAACCUAAACAAGAAGUAGUUUUAAACUAAUAUUUCUUAUUGACAUAAAACUCCUAAAUAACUUAAAAUACUUAAUAAUUAUCAAAAAUUCAGAACAAAAAUAAUAAAAUAAUAAGAGUUGAUAAAUACAAUAUUGGGAUUAUAUAUAAUAAAAAUUAAGCCUAACACUCGAACCUAAUAUGAUUUAAACUCGAAUUAAAAGCUUGAAACUUGUAAUUCCCUGUAUAAUCCCGUUCAGAAAUUAUGGUCGUCCAGUCUUCACUAAAACGGUUAUAACUUGAGUUUCCGAACUCAAAAUUGAGUGAUUAAAAGUGCAUUUUGAAGGUAAGAAAUAGAUAUUCGAACGCUAUGAAGACAUCUUAAUCCAUAAAUGUCUGGAUCCUAUACAAAUAUUUGUCGCAAGUUGACUAAUCUUUUGAGCUUGAAAAUUAACAGCUUAGUUUACUUGACUUUAAUCCAUUUCACCCAUUCCACGCAUGUAUCAUUCUUCAUUUCCGCGAAAAUAUUCAUCAUCGCACACUAACUUUGAUUGAAUCUUGGCUUGAUUUGCUUGACCUUUGACCUUGUUGUUAGGCCUUGAGGUAGUGUAAGCACAUUGCAUCUAUAGGCCUGAAGUUGGGUCUUGAGACUCGUAUGAAAAGUUUAACUUGAUUAGUCCUGGUUCCAGUGGUUGCCAACCCUCAGCCACUGGUACUCUGGAAGCCAAACAUUCUUUACUAUCUUUCCACUUUUGGCUAUACUUGUUUAUGAGAUUCACUAUUUCCUGUACUGACUAAUUUUGCCCCUCAUACAGGAUUCGAUUUCGGACCGUCCAUAUUGCCUACACAGCACCAGCUAUUAACCUUCAUCGUACUCUUGACCCUACCUCGAAUAGAUAAGUCAUCCAUUCUCUAUAAUUUUCCUCGGAGAUAUUUUGUGGCCACCCAACUCCUAACUUGUCCUAUAUUUCUUUUGUAGAUGCACAUUCCCUAAACACAUGCUCAAUGGUUUCAGUUUCAUUUCUACAUCUUGGACAUUUCAUUACAUCGCCUAGUCUUCAAAUUACUAAAUUGUUAAGUGUUGAAAUGUAAUUAUUAAACACCCUCCGAUUUGUAAUUUUUACUUUACUCAGCGGCACUCAAUCUGCCAGAGUUUUUUUUUGCAAUAGUUCCUCUAAGGAUUUGGUAUGCUGGUUAUAUUUUCAUCUUGCAUUGUCUUUUUGUAACCACUCCUUACCGAAUACUCCUCUGUUUGUUCUCCCCUUCGUGCCAUUCUGUCUCCUUGUGGGUGUUGAGUUAGAAGGAUGCAUAAGAUUUGUUCUGUAUCUUCAGACGAAAAAACACCGAUAAUAAGCUCCUCCAUCCAUUGUCUUGUUUCAUGCAAAAUCAAAUCAGACACAUUUGUUUUCGAACUGUUUGUAACCUCAUUAUGAAUUCUAGAAUCCAUAGAUUCAGGGUUCCUUUCAUCAUCCCUGAUUGAUAUACUCUCCUCUGUCCUAACCCUCCAACACAUUCCUGAUUUUAGGAGUCUUUUAGUGACCCAGAUGCUUUUCCAGGUAUACGGCGGGUAAUUCCCUAACCUUGAUUAUAAAAAAGUAGAUGAUGGAUAAUAUUUUUCCUUGUUUGCUUUUACAUUAGUAUCAAAUUAAUUUUUUUUAACAUUAAUAUCAUUAUAGAUUCUUAUCAUAUAUGGCUAGAAUUACCUAUAGUCGCUCCCCAACCCUUAAAUAAGAGGAUAAUAGUUCAUAGUUUGUUGACCGUAAAUUGUAAUUGUAAAUUUUUAAUAAUUUUAAGAAAUUUGAUUAGAAUUUUAAUAUAUUUAAAAUUUUUUAUAAUGGUUUCUAAACAACAUUUUAAAAAUAUGUACUUCCCUCGUGUUUAAAUUUUUUAGUUUAAUUAUGAAAAAGAAUUAUUUUUAAAAUUUUUUUAUUUAAAGUAUUUUGUAAAAAAUAAUUGAAUAUUUUAAAUAAAUUUUAAGUAAAUAAUUUUUUAAUAACAGAGCCGAUAUAUUUUAUUAAUAAUAAAAUAGUGAUGUGUCUAAUUUGGUAGUGUAUUUUACUUUAUAAUAUAUAUACUAUCAUUUUAUCCAUAUAAUACACAUGUAUUUUGUAUGCAUCUAUUCAAAUAUAUUUAUUUAUUAAUAUAAAAUAAUUUUUAAGAUUUGUAACGUUUGAAAAAAUAACUUGAUUAAAAAUAUAUACUGAUAUAUAUUAUAUUACAACCUCCACUACAAAUUAAGGAAAUUUUCGUAUGUGGAAUUUUUGACAUGUGGUCACAAAAGUAUUUUUGUGUUAAAAUUACUACUGUUUUUUAAAACCUAUUGGGUGUAAUUAAUAAACAUAAAUAAUAAAAUUUCUCUUUUUUCCUUAGCGCCUCCUAAUUUUCACAAAGGGGAAGAGGUUUUUUUCUUUUAACUUUGGAAUAUCUACGAGGUAACUCCUUUUGGCUUUGUCAGAUUUAUAAUUUAGCCCCUAUUUUUAAUUUAAUAAAAAUAUUUCGAUUUGCAAGUGAAAGAAAUAGAGUUGUUGUAUUUAAUACCUUCAAUAUUCAACAUUAAAAUUUAGAAAGGAUUAAUAUCAUAAUUCUGAAAAGGUUGUCAAGUAAAUGGAUUUCAAAAAUAUUUGAAAGAGGGAUUAAACUGUGUAACUAUCAAUAUUUAAAGAAUUUUUUAAGGAAAUAAGCCAAAAAGAGUAUAAACAUGUGUCAACCUGCCCGAUAUAAAAAAAAAAUUAUAUUUUAAAUAAAUCCUCGUACUAAUAAUAAUAUAUGAUUUAAAGAUUUUAUGAAGCAAAUAAGCAAAUAAGGUGUCAACUUAGUUUAAUGUGAAAUUUAAAAAAUUUAUAAUGUGAACAUGGCUAAAAAUUCCUUUCUUUUUAAGAUAAAACUUUGUAGUAGUAGUAGUAUGAUUUAAAGAAAUUAAGAAGCAAAUAAGCCAAAAAUGAUAUAAGCAUGUGUCAACUUAAUUUAAUGCCAAAUGUAAAAAAAAAUAUAAUGUGAAUAUAACUAAAGAUUUUUGAACAUGUGUCAGUUAAGUUUAAUAUAAAAAAAAUAAAAAUUUUAAUUUUUAGAUAAAACCUUGUAAUACAUAUUUAAAGAAUUUAUGAAACAAAUAACAAAAAAAAAAAAGGUAUGAACAUGUGUCUAACUUAGUUUGAUGCCAAAUGUAGGAAAAAUUAUAAUGUGGAUAUGAUUAAAAAAUUCCUUUUCCAGAUAAAACUUGUCAUAUUUAUAUUUAAAAAAAAUUAUGAUGCAAAUAAGUCAAGGAUACCAACAUGUGUCAAUUUAAUUUAAUGUCAAAUGUAGACAUUUUAUAAUUUGAACAUUGAUAAAAAUUUCCUUAUGAGCUCUAAUCAUAUUAAAAUAUUUUUAGAAUAAUUAUAAUUCGAUUGGGAUAAAAUAACAUAAUUUAACUAGAAAAAGAAACUCAAUUUAUGUUAGAACAUGUCGCCACGUCGUUCGUCGUCGCAACAUCAAGAAAUUUCUCAUUGUGACGUCGCCGACGACUUUGGUUUUAUGAUACUGAAGUCCAUGUUUGCGAUAUGAGUUGCGAUGAGCGCUUGCAAAUAGUCCAAUAAAUACAAAGGACAUCCCACAUUUUCAUUAGAUCUAUCCAACAAUAAUUACAUGCCUUACUAUUUCAGAACAAAACAUUUCCUUACUUAAUUAUAAAAUAUUAAUAUUAAUAUUAAUAUGAAAACUAAUAUUCUUUUACUUGUGAAAAUAAAUAGAGCCAUUGUUGGACAGGAAGAUUAACAAAGGAAUUCGAGCCAUUUGGUGGAUAAAAAGAUUUAAGAAUAUAAAUUGAAUUGAAGUGAAACUUAAGUUUUAUAAUUAUGAGAGAAAUGAGAUAUCUAUAUAUAAAAUAAGGAAUUUAUUUAUUGCAAUAACUAAAAAGUUACAUAUAAGAUUAUUUAGAUUAAAUAUAAAAGUUUAGACUUUAGUUUUUUUUUCUUUUCAUGAUUGGGGAGGAGGAGGAGCAUGGGGAUCAUGCUUGGGGUCGGGACCAGGUGGUGGGUAAUCUGUUGUUUCUAUUAGCAUCCUUUCUUCAUUGAAUUUAUGUCCUAAAUAUUCCUCAAACAUUUCCUCAGCUUCACUUGAUUUUUUCACAUCCUGCAAAAUAUAAUUAUAUACAACUUUAAUCUAAUUAUUAAAUUUACUUAUAUUCAUCCUUGCAAAAUUUAUACGGAUAGACAGACAAUUGUCCAAAAAUACAACAACUUUCAGCAUUACUAGUAUUAUGUUCAUCUUUUUGCUUAAAAAAUAAAAAUUGGUUCAAAA